This 94-nucleotide small RNA is filed under the name Yersinia enterocolitica. RNAcentral's name for it is "partial RtT sRNA". It matches the Rfam family "RtT RNA", at positions 36 to 130 of the family's 130-position model. Rfam says of the family: This family represents a bacterial cis-regulatory element known as RtT RNA. The exact function of RtT is unknown although it is thought that it may be involved in changing the cellular response in relation to amino acid starvation. The record is from RNAcentral. Lineage: Bacteria; Pseudomonadati; Pseudomonadota; Gammaproteobacteria; Enterobacterales; Yersiniaceae.
CCAAGGUUCGCGCCGAGCGUAGCGAGACAACGACGCGCAGCGGCGGCCCGAAGGGCGAGGAACGAAGUGACGAGUAAUCCUUCCCCCACCACCA